CAUAAUAUGCCCAUCAUUUGGCUAAUAAAUGAUAAUUAUUGUAACCGUGGUAAUAUUGAGGAAAUAGUACACGAAACAAAAAACGUUUUUACAGGAGACUUAUAUUAUAGUAGUGAAGUAUUUUUGUCUUGAAAUAUUUAUCAAUUUGGUGAAAAUUCAUGAUUUUCGAAUUAUUUUCAAUUGUCCGGAAACAUUUACUUUAAGCUUCACCGCAAUCGAUAAAAUAUGCGGUUUUCGAAGUCAUACGCGUUGGUACUUU
Molecule: non-coding RNA, 259 nt
Organism: Cinara cedri
Lineage: Eukaryota; Metazoa; Arthropoda; Insecta; Hemiptera; Aphididae
Source: the annotation of a GenBank genome assembly